RNAcentral lists this ribosomal RNA (741 nucleotides) under uncultured bacterium. RNAcentral describes it as "bacterial SSU rRNA". It matches the Rfam family "Bacterial small subunit ribosomal RNA", at positions 8 to 796 of the family's 1533-position model. The record is from RNAcentral.
AGAGUUUGAUCCUGGCUCAGAACGAACGCUGGCGGCAGGCUUAACACAUGCAAGUCGAACGCAUCCUUCGGGGUGAGUGGCAGACGGGUGAGUAACGCGUGGGAACGUGCCCUUCAGUUCGGAAUAACCCAGGGAAACUUGGGCUAAUACCGGAUACGUGCGAGAGCAGAAAGAUUUAUCGCUGAAGGAUCGGCCCGCGUCUGAUUAGCUAGUUGGUAGGGUAAUGGCCUACCAAGGCGACGAUCAGUAGCUGGUCUGAGAGGAUGAUCAGCCACAUUGGGACUGAGACACGGCCCAAACUCCUACGGGAGGCAGCAGUGGGGAAUAUUGGACAAUGGGCGCAAGCCUGAUCCAGCCAUGCCGCGUGAGUGAUGAAGGCCUUAGGGUUGUAAAGCUCUUUCGGCGGGGACGAUAAUGACGGUACCCGCAGAAGAAGCCCCGGCUACUUCGUGCCAGCAGCCGCGGUAAUACGAAGGGGGCUAGCGUUGUUCGGAAUCACUGGGCGUAAAGGGCGCGUAGGCGGCUUGAUAAGUCGGGGGUGAAAGCCUGUGGCUCAACCACAGAAUUGCCUUCGAUACUGUCUGGCUUGAGACCGGAAGAGGUAAGUGGAACUGCGAGUGUAGAGGUGAAAUUCGUAGAUAUUCGCAAGAACACCAGUGGCGAAGGCGGCUUACUGGUCCGGUUCUGNNNNUGANNNNCGAAAGCGUGGGGAGCAAACAGGAUUAGAUACCCUAGUAGUCC